CCCGAAACGCCCGUGGCCAGGGUCACGCGGGCCCUUUCCACGAAACUAUCCACUUAAAAAGGACCGACGACACAUUGAUGUACCCGACAAUGCCGCGGCUCUCGCGACAUUGUUUACGAUUCGGCCGAUAUCUUAGGCCUUUUGUCCACGAUACUACAUAUAUAUAUAUAAAUGUACGGACAUCAACGUCCGAGACGUUCGUCCAUGCCAAACGGUAACGCGUACAGGAAACAUUUGUUCAAAAUGACUUUGAC
Molecule: unclassified non-coding RNA, 254 nt
Filed under: Bombus terrestris (buff-tailed bumblebee)
Lineage: Eukaryota; Metazoa; Arthropoda; Insecta; Hymenoptera; Apidae
Description: misc RNA ENSBTSG00005038687.1
Source: RNAcentral